AUUAUGUAAAUAGACUCAUCAGGGUGCAGGACAGGUCAUGCACUCAUAAAAGUUUAUGAAUCCAAGGGAUCUUCAAAAACUUUAAGGGAUAGGUCAACGAUCUAUUCCUUACUAUCUUCCUCAUCUGGAGGGGGAGCAUGGAAAAAAAUGAGUUCCAUAUACUUAGCUAGAUUGCACCUUGUGUCCUACACAAACUAGACAUACCCACAGUGUGCACAUCCUGCGUUAGUUGUGUGUGGUAAGCGGAGCCUGUGCGAGCGUCGUGGGGAGCUCUUCGUACGUCAUAUCAGCUUGAACCUGUAUCUCUUGGUGAGGAAUGAUGUGGAAAGGGUAAGGAUGGUACCU
RNAcentral lists this long non-coding RNA (345 nucleotides) under Carica papaya (papaya). RNAcentral's name for it is "long non-coding RNA (CPAP_LNC012930)". The record is from RNAcentral. Lineage: Eukaryota; Viridiplantae; Streptophyta; Magnoliopsida; Brassicales; Caricaceae.